AAAAAAAGAAGCAAGCUUAAAAGCGUCGCAUCUUGCGACAACAGCUGACUGACCUACAUCUUGUGAG
Molecule: small RNA, 67 nt
Filed under: Solibacillus silvestris StLB046
Lineage: Bacteria; Bacillati; Bacillota; Bacilli; Caryophanales; Caryophanaceae
Description: Bacillaceae-1 RNA
Rfam family: Bacillaceae-1 RNA
Source: Rfam by way of RNAcentral